GUAGGUGGCAAGCGUUGUCCGGAAUUAUUGGGCGUAAAGCGCGCGCAGGCUGUUCUUUAAGGUCUGAUGUGAAAGCCCACGGGCUCAACCGUGGAGGGUCAUUGGAAACUGGAGAACUUGAGUACAGAAGAGGAAAGCGGAAUUCCACGUGUAGCGGUGAAAUGCGUAGAGAUGUGGAGGAGCACCAGUGGCGAAGGCGGCUUUCUGGUCUGUAACUGACGCUGAGGCGCGAAAGCGUGGGGAGCAAACAGGAUUAGAUACCCUGGUAGUCCACGCCGUAAACGAUGAGUGCUAAGUGUUAGGGGGUUUCCGCCCCUUAGUGCUGCAGCUAACGCAUUAAGCACUCCGCCUGGGGAGUACGGCCGCAAGGCUG
This 373-nucleotide ribosomal RNA is filed under the name uncultured organism. Its description in RNAcentral is "partial 16S ribosomal RNA". It matches the Rfam family "Bacterial small subunit ribosomal RNA", at positions 527 to 896 of the family's 1533-position model. The record is from RNAcentral.